This 253-nucleotide ribosomal RNA is filed under the name uncultured bacterium. Its description in RNAcentral is "partial 16S ribosomal RNA". It matches the Rfam family "Bacterial small subunit ribosomal RNA", at positions 524 to 776 of the family's 1533-position model. The record is from RNAcentral.
UACGUAGGGGGCAAGCGUUGUCCGGAAUCAUUGGGCGUAAAGAGCGUGUAGGCGGCCUGGUAAGUCCGCUGUGAAAGUCCAGGGCUCAACCCUGGAAUGCCGGUGGAAACUGUCAGGCUCGAGUCCGGAAGAGGCGAGUGGAAUUCCUGGUGUAGCGGUGAAAUGCGCAGAUAUCAGGAGGAACACCGGUGGCGAAGGCGGGUCUCUGGGCCGAUACUGACGCUGAGGAGCGAAAGCGUGGGGAGCGAACAGG